ACCCUCAGGGUGUGCUCAGCACCUCCAUUUUGGACCUUGCCAAGGCCUGUAGGCUGGUUACACCUGCACAGAAUGACUAUUAGUGCACCUUUUCCUAAUCACCACUCUUCCUGCUCCCCAUACUCCCCACACCUCAGACCACUCUGCUUCUUUACUGGUUAUCCCAUCAAUGCCCCAGCCUCUGCUCCUGUGGUGGGGGUGGAGUGCAUCUGUGACGUGUUUUCCGGUUUCUUCACCUGGCCGCUUUGCCAGUAAACCCUCUCUUUGCUGCAAACCUCGACAUUUCAGCACUUCGGCUUGCUGCAAGUCAGGAAGAAGAAACCUGGGGCGCAACAUUACAUUGCGUCGUCAUGUCUUUUUAUGCUCUUCUUGGCUAUGACAAGUAAUGCUGUUUUGUCUGGAAAGUUGCUGACCUUGUAGCCCAGCCAAUAUUUUGGUGAAGAAGUAGAAGUUCCUGGAUGAAGGCUUGUGGUCAAGAAUGGAACUGAAGGCUUGCCUCAACAUCUUGGCAUAAAAAAAAAAGUCUUGGUCAGGAGGUUCUCCUCCACGUGGUAAUCCAUGGAUCCAGUCUCCAACCAACUCAUGGCUGUAUAUCUGUCUGGCUGGUAAACAAAAAGAAAGAACAUGCAGAAUGCAGCCCUUGUUCAAUGACACUAAAGGAAGAUAGAAGACUUCAGGAGAAAAUGCAAGCCUAUCUCUAUUAGCUGUGGUGCAACGGCCGAAGCAGCAACUCCAAGGUGAUUUGGUGUUCUGCAGUGUAACUUGAACAUUUAGUCUUAAACAAAUGAAUAGCCUGAAAGCAGAGAAUCAAUAGUUCUCUGAGAACAGUGUUUGCAUUUUCCUUCCGAUUAUGGCAUUCUCCCAAUAACUUAGAUUUCCUUUAAUGACAGUGAUCUUGGGCAGCUUCAGAUGCUCUGACCCAGUGCCCAACCAGAUCUUAUUAAAACUUUUGUUAUUUGUGUACACUACAGUUUAUGUGCUAUCUGCAUAAUGUCCCUUUUCCUGGUAGGAAGAAAAUCACAGACAAAUGCGUUAGAAUGUAUUAUGUUAUAAUUCAUGUCUAAGAAAUUUUGAGGUAUUUGGUUCUAAAACACCUUGUACUAAUUUCUCAGUUAUCCCAGUACUUCCUCAAACCUCCUUAAAUGUUAUGAUUUUGGUCCCUACCAAGCAUGGUUAUCAAUGACUCUGUGAUUUCUUCUAAUAGGCAAAAUGCAAUAGGUAUAUUAAAAUAUAAGCCUAAGUCAUUUACAGCUUGACUUGUAUGGCUUUUGAUUCCUUUUGAACACCUGUCGACACGUACCAGUGGACACCCUGAAUCUCAAGUGGUGAGAAUAGCACAUGGUUCAAGUGGACCUCUGCCAACUCUGCUGCCAGAGUCCCAGUACAGUGGAUGGUUAAAACCACAUAUGGUUCAACCAGAUUCUAUGGGGCAGAAUGGGAAAGACAGACUUCUGGGCCUGUCAUAGAACAAAGAUCCAACCAGACAGCCAUUUUCAGGGCUGCCAAGAGUAUUAUUCAGAGAGAUGUGCACAGCAAUAAGAGACAGGCAAGUUACCCAUUUUGAGAUCCAAGAAAACGAAGUUUGUCAGCUAUGCACCCCAUGCCAUGGUAAUAGGUAAGCUCUUUGGUCGCAUUUUCAAGGAGAUGUGUUUGCUUGCUUUAGCCUCUAUUCCAAUCUCCUGAUUGCAAUUUAAGAGAAAUGAAAAAAUCUAGCU
Sus scrofa (pig) is the source of this 1715-nucleotide non-coding RNA. The record is from RefSeq and is a predicted model, not a curated record. Lineage: Eukaryota; Metazoa; Chordata; Mammalia; Artiodactyla; Suidae.